Molecule: ribosomal RNA, 254 nt
Filed under: uncultured bacterium
Lineage: Bacteria
Description: partial 16S ribosomal RNA
Rfam family: Bacterial small subunit ribosomal RNA
Source: RNAcentral
UACGUAGGGUGCAAGCGUUAUCCGGAAUUAUUGGGCGUAAAGAGCUCGUAGGCGGUUUGUCACGUCUGCUGUGAAAACUGGAGGCUCAACCUCCAGCCUGCAGUGGGUACGGGCAGACUAGAGUGCGGUAGGGGGAGAUUGGAAUUCCUGGUGUAGCGGUGGAAUGCGCAGAUAUCAGGAGGAACACCGAUGGCGAAGGCAGAUCUCUGGGCCGUAACUGACGCUGAGGCGCGAAAGCUAGGGGAGCAAACGGG